ACUUUUAAAGGAUAAGAGUUAUCUGCUGAUCUUAGGAACCAAAAACAUUGGUUCAACUCUAAGUAAAAGUA
Non-coding RNA from Macaca fascicularis (crab-eating macaque), 71 nucleotides. Lineage: Eukaryota; Metazoa; Chordata; Mammalia; Primates; Cercopithecidae. The record is from Rfam.